This 637-nucleotide long non-coding RNA is filed under the name Nicotiana benthamiana. Its description in RNAcentral is "long non-coding RNA (NBEN_LNC035383)". Lineage: Eukaryota; Viridiplantae; Streptophyta; Magnoliopsida; Solanales; Solanaceae. The record is from RNAcentral.
GCUUCUAGGUGGUCUAAAUUCAUUUACUCUAUUUUGAGAAAUGUAGUUUCCAUGCACUUUUUCAAAACCAUUUCUAGAUGUUCUAAAGUGCUCAAUAUUUCUCCUAGUGUUUCUUCUAGGAUGUCUAGUGUUCCUAGAAUUAUUAUUUCUAGGUUGUCUAUUAACAUUGAUUUUGUCUUUCCUAGGUUGAACCUUGGGUUGCUUAGGAUUUUCUUCAACGUUUUCAUUCAUAUUAAUGUUAUUUUCGAAACCUAUACCAUGUUUAGUGGAUUUCAAAUUGUCAAGAACUUUAUUGAGGUUUUUAUGAGAGGAAUUGAAUUUGUUCAAAGUACCCUUAAGAUUUUCUACUUGAUCUUUGAGGGAUUUACAAGACGUGCUACCUUUGUACUUGAUCUUUGAGGGAUUUACAAGACGUGCAACCUUUGUUUGAGCCUUCGGGUUUGUCGGCGCUUCUUUUGCCAAAAACUUUAUUUUCUUCUUUUAAUUUUAUAUUAUCUAGGCUCAAUUUUUCUAAAUCCUUUUCCUUUAGAGAAAGCUGUUUCUUCAAAUCCUUAAUAGUUUUAGAAGCGCUAAAAAAUUCGCCGUAUAAUUCAUCAAAAGCAUCUUGCAUAUCUUCAUAAGUAUAAGAAUUUUUAGA